This 253-nucleotide ribosomal RNA is filed under the name uncultured bacterium. Its description in RNAcentral is "partial 16S ribosomal RNA". It matches the Rfam family "Bacterial small subunit ribosomal RNA", at positions 524 to 776 of the family's 1533-position model. The record is from RNAcentral.
UACGUAGGGUGCAAGCGUUGUCCGGAAUUAUUGGGCGUAAAGAGCUCGUAGGCGGUCUGUCGCGUCGGCUGUGAAAACCCGAGGCUCAACCUCGGGCCUGCAGUCGAUACGGGCAAACUAGAGUACUGCAGGGGAGACUGGAAUUCCUGGUGUAGCGGUGAAAUGCGCAGAUAUCAGGAGGAACACCGGUGGCGAAGGCGGGACUCUGGGCCGAUACUGACGCUGAGGAGCGAAAGCGUGGGGAGCGAACAGG